RNAcentral lists this ribosomal RNA (460 nucleotides) under uncultured bacterium. RNAcentral's name for it is "partial 16S ribosomal RNA". It matches the Rfam family "Bacterial small subunit ribosomal RNA", at positions 338 to 795 of the family's 1533-position model. The record is from RNAcentral.
CCUACGGGUGGCAGCAGUGAGGAAUAUUGGUCAAUGGACGAGAGUCUGAACCAGCCAAGUAGCGUGAAGGAUGACUGCCCUAUGGGUUGUAAACUUCUUUUAUAUGGGAAUAAAACAGGGUAUGCAUACCCUCUUGUAUGUACCAUAUGAAUAAGGAUCGGCUAACUCCGUGCCAGCAGCCGCGGUAAUACGGAGGAUCCGAGCGUUAUCCGGUUUUAUUGGGUUUAAAGGGAGCGUAGGUGGAUUGUUAAGUCAGUUGUGAAAGUUUGCGGCUCAACCGUAAAAUUGCAGUUGAAACUGGCAGUCUUGAGUACAGUAGAGGUGGGCGGAAUUCGUGGUGUAGCGGGGAAAUGCUUAGAUAUCACGAAGAACUCCGAUUGCGAAGGCAGCUUACUGGACUGCAACUGACACUGAUGCUCGAAAGCGUGGGGAGCAAACAGGAUUAGAUACCCCAGUAGUC